AGGGUUUGAUUCUGGCUCAGGACGAACGCUGGCGGCAUGCUUAACACAUGCAAGUCGAACGAGAAAGCUUCUUCGGAAGUGAUUAAAGUGGCGCACGGGUGAGUAACGCGUAGACAAUCUGCCCUUCAGUCCGGGACAACUUUCCGAAAGGGGAGCUAAUACCGGAUAACAAUGUUUGACAUAAGUUGAAUAUUUGAAAGCUCCGGCGCUGAUGGAUGAGUCUGCGUCCCAUUAGCUUGUUGGUGCGGUAGCGGCGCACCAAGGCAACGAUGGGUAGCGGGUUUGAGAGGACGAUCCGCCACACUGGAACUGAGACACGGUCCAGACUCCUACGGGAGGCAGCAGUGGGGAAUAUUGCACAAUGGAGGAAACUCUGAUGCAGCAAUGCCGCGUGAGUGAAGAAGGCCCUUGGGUCGUAAAGCUCUUUUAUGGGGGAAGAUGAUGACGGUACCCCAGGAAUAAGCACCGGCUAACUACGUGCCAGCAGCCGCGGUAAUAC
RNAcentral lists this ribosomal RNA (499 nucleotides) under uncultured bacterium. RNAcentral describes it as "bacterial SSU rRNA". It matches the Rfam family "Bacterial small subunit ribosomal RNA", at positions 8 to 526 of the family's 1533-position model. The record is from RNAcentral.